Molecule: long non-coding RNA, 1195 nt
Filed under: Rhinopithecus bieti (black snub-nosed monkey)
Lineage: Eukaryota; Metazoa; Chordata; Mammalia; Primates; Cercopithecidae
Description: lncRNA (ENSRBIG00000045936.1)
Source: RNAcentral
AUGGGAGCUUGGGGAGCGGAGCAAACCCCACCCUUAAAGACAACAAAACAGGUGCAGAGGCUGCGGGCGAUAGUCCUGCAGGGGAGGGGACUGGAGGAGAAGUUUUGGUCGCGAGAGAGCAGGAACAGUGUCCAGGGUCUCUCCGCCGCCUCCCAGGCUUGCAAGCCCUCACAGCCAGACCCUACCCAGAGGGGCGCCCCCUCGCGGGUCCCCAGCCACCACCUGCAGCUGCUGCUGUCACCUACUGUGCCACCCCCAAGUUUGAUACUCUGGGCAUUUGCACCAACCCUACCUCCCUUUCCUUCCACGAAUUUCUCCCUUUGCUCUCUACCCCCCGGUUCCGCGAGAGAUGGCCCGGCGAAGACAGACCUCCUGGACUUGAGGCCAAGUUCACCAAAUCCGCCCCGGGGAAAGGUGAGGGCAAAGGCGGGGUGGACCGAUCCAGCUGCGGCUGAGUGGCUGCAGUCCCGAGCAGGGCAGGCGAGCGCAGGAGAACUCAGGAGCAGAGAUGGGGAGCUGGAUCUGCGCAGAACCCCGGAAAAGCGCCAGCAGGAUUGCACCGAGAACAAAUCCUCCGCUCCCUCGCCCAGGGCUGGGACGCAGUGCGCUGGUGUUCCUCUAGCUGGGCGGUCCCUGUGCUCCGAACAAGAAGGUAAAGCAAGUUCAGAUCCUGCUGCCCAUGAUCAGCAAUUUCCCUAACAGGUGUCUGCAGACAGAUUAUAAGUUGGGUAGUGCGGAUUCAGACUCGAUAGCCAGGAACCUGUGUUAUGAGCUCUGGCUCAGGGCAAAAGCUAGGAUAGACAGGGUAUGAAAGCUAUGGGACACGAAUAAAACACAUUCUCUCUCCUGAUAGCUGACUUCUGGAUUCUUCACUCUUUGAUCCUGACCCAAGCCACUCGUGCCAUCAGGAGCGCAUGCCUCUGGAAUACUCGCUCCUGUCUCCUUGUGGUGAAACCUUCCGCUGAUGCCCAGAGUCUCCCAGGCUGAAUUAGUGGGUAGGAGCAAAACAGGAUGGUGGAGACAAUCAGCAGAGCAGCAGCGUCUGUUUCCUCGGGAUUCCUCCCAGGAACCCUAUUCGAAGCCAUUCCUUCUAAAAGUUUGCAGCCAGUCUCUCUUUCCUUUGUUCGUUUUUAGAGGAGGCAGUAGAGCUACCUACAUGAAAAAAACCAAAGCCUGAUACUGAUAACCUAAGUCU